GAUGAAGAACGCAGCGAAUUGCGAUAUGUAAUGUGAAUUGCAGAUUUUCAGUGAAUCAUCGAAUCUUUGAACGCACCUUGCGCUCCUUGGUAUUCCGAGGAGCAUGCCUGUUUGAGUGUCAUUAAUAUAUCAACCUUCUCUUUUUUGAGUUGUUUGGAUGUGGGGGUUUGCUGGCCUCUUAAAUGAUUCAGCUCCCCUGAAAUGCAUUAGCAGAACAACCUGUUCAUUGGCGUGAUAAUUAUCUAUGCUAUUGAAUGUGAGGGCAGUUCAGCUUUCUAACCGUCCUUGGACAAUUCAUCAUUAAUGUGACCUCAAAUCAGGUAGGACUACCCGCUGAACUUAAGCAUAUCAAUAAGCGGAGGA
Molecule: unclassified non-coding RNA, 363 nt
Filed under: soil metagenome
Description: partial contains 5.8S ribosomal RNA, internal transcribed spacer 2, and large subunit ribosomal RNA
Rfam family: 5.8S ribosomal RNA (bases 1-121)
Source: RNAcentral